UGGUUUGAGAAAUCACCCUGAGCUUGUUGGGAAACCUGUUGCAGUUUGUCAUGCAGGGAAAAGUAAUGUGAACAAAGAACCUAACACAGACAGCGCAUCUAGUUUUNCAUCCAUGUCAGAAAUAGCAUCAUGUAGUUAUGAGGCAAGGAAGGCAGGCGUCAAGAAUGGCAUGUUUUUAGGUGCAGCUCGCAAGCUGUGUCCAAACAUUGUUUGUAUACCAUACCUAUUCCAGCAGUAUCGUGAUGUCUCUAGGANACUUUACCAUAUACUGGUCAACCAUACACAUGAUAUCGAGGCUGUCAGCUGUGAUGAGGCCUACAUUGAUGUAUCCUUGGUAUUGAAUGAGGAUACUACACCCCUUGAUUUAGCCAAACAAAUUCGCAAUGAAAUNCAAGACCAGACAAAGUGUACAGCAUCAGUUGGUAUCGGCCCUAAUGUAUUACUAGCAAGACUAUGUACUAGGCUCGCAAAGCCUGAUGGACAGUAUCAUGUUCAUGGAGACAAAGUGCAAGAAUUCAUUGGUCAACAAAAAGUGUCUGAUUUGCCAGGAGUCGGGCGAUCACUCAGAGAAAAGCUUCAUGGUUUAGGAGUAACGACUUGUGUUGAUCUUCAACGGCUGAGCCUGNAAUCCUUACAGGACAGCCUGGGCGAGAAGACAGGUCUUAUGGUAUACCGUUAUGGGCGUGGCGAGGACGACAGGCCACUGAGAGUCGAACGAGAAAGAAAGUCGGUGUCUGCUGAAAUAAACUACGGGAUACGAUUCACAGAGGAAUCUGAACCAAUAAAGUUUAUCAGCGAAUUGUCAGUUGAAGUUCAGAAAAGACUCAGAGACAUUGAAUCCAAAGGACAGUCAGUUUGCUUAAAGUUAAAAGUGCGUAAAAAAGGAGCCCCAGAGCCCCUCAAGUUUAUGGGCCAUGGAAUAUGUGAUAAUAUUGCACGUUCUGCGUCACUUCCGGUUCCUACUGACGACUCCAAAACAAUAGCAGCCAAAUGUCAUCAUUUAUUGCAUCAGUUGAAGCUCNUGCCGUCAGAUAUACGCGGUAUGGGNAUCCAAGUAAACAGACUAACACAACACAAAGCAACCACUCGUACUUUACAUGACUUUGCUACGACCAAACCUNCACAAAGAACACCUCUUCUAGAGCGACCGGGCGAUGUAACGAGUUCUACUUCCGCUAAUAAACCUCCUCAAAGAACCUCUCNACAAGAACGACCGGACGAUGUAGCGAGUGUGAUUGCCACUAAUAAACCUCUACAGAAAAACGGCUCUCUACUAGAACGACCAGACGAUGAAGCGAGUUUGAUUGCCACUUAUAACGCUUUACAGCGAACACGCUCUCUACUAGAACGACCAGACGAUGAAGCGAGUUUGAUUGCCACUUAUAACGCUUCACANCGAACACUCUUACAAGAACGAACGGGCGAUAUAACGAGUUUUACGCCAUCGCGUUCUCCUUCAAACUCUUUUUAUUCACAUGAGAUGAAUACACCAGGGCAUGAAGUAAGCGACAAAUUAUGCUUUAACGAACCCUUUAAGGAGAGCGGGAGACUCCCUCCCCUCCCUCCCCUCCCCCAGUUUUUNCCUUCUUCUCCCUCAGCGACAAGGAAACGCUCGAUACCAAAGUCACCAGAACCCCAACCAGUGUCAGACGUCAUGGAAGAGCUUCUAUUACCAUCGCCUUCUCAGCUAGACCACAAUGCAUUGAACGCGCUACCGGAAGANAUUCGACUCAGUAUUCAAAGGCAGUACGCUAAAAGGAACAAUUCUAUUGCUGUUAUAGAUAACAAAGAAACAAUUACGACGAGGAAACUAACCUGGAAGAAGUAAAACAAGAAGAACAAGCAAGCCUUAAAGGAGCAACGUCUUGCAGACAAGUAAAAACUCUAUUGAAAUCAUGGACCGAUAGCUCAGAGUUUUUUCAAGAAGACGUNGACGUUGUAGUUGAGUAUUUUUUAAAAUUGGUAGAACGAGACAACAUGGAGCAAUUAUGGAUUCUUAUCAAAUACCUAAUAAG
This 2015-nucleotide unclassified non-coding RNA is filed under the name Exaiptasia diaphana. RNAcentral's name for it is "dNA repair protein REV1, transcript variant X2". The record is from RNAcentral. Lineage: Eukaryota; Metazoa; Cnidaria; Anthozoa; Actiniaria; Aiptasiidae.